Molecule: long non-coding RNA, 11477 nt
Filed under: Homo sapiens (human)
Lineage: Eukaryota; Metazoa; Chordata; Mammalia; Primates; Hominidae
Description: non-protein coding XIST:36
Rfam family: X-chromosome inactivation gene exon 4 (bases 8509-8634)
Source: RNAcentral
AGUGCUCCAGGCCUGCUUGGUGUGGACAUGGUGGUGAGCCGUGGCAAGGACCAGAAUGGAUCACAGAUGAUCGUUGGCCAACAGGUGGCAGAAGAGGAAUUCCUGCCUUCCUCAAGAGGAACACCUACCCCUUGGCUAAUGCUGGGGUCGGAUUUUGAUUUAUAUUUAUCUUUUGGAUGUCAGUCAUACAGUCUGAUUUUGUGGUUUGCUAGUGUUUGAAUUUAAGUCUUAAGUGACUAUUAUAGAAAUGUAUUAAGAGGCUUUAUUUGUAGAAUUCACUUUAAUUACAUUUAAUGAGUUUUUGUUUUGAGUUCCUUAAAAUUCCUUAAAGUUUUUAGCUUCUCAUUACAAAUUCCUUAACCUUUUUUUGGCAGUAGAUAGUCAAAGUCAAAUCAUUUCUAAUGUUUUAAAAAUGUGCUGGUCAUUUUCUUUGAAAUUGACUUAACUAUUUUCCUUUGAAGAGUCUGUAGCACAGAAACAGUAAAAAAUUUAACUUCAUGACCUAAUGUAAAAAAGAGUGUUUGAAGGUUUACACAGGUCCAGGCCUUGCUUUGUUCCCAUCCUUGAUGCUGCACUAAUUGACUAAUCACCUACUUAUCAGACAGGAAACUUGAAUUGCUGUGGUCUGGUGUCCUCUAUUCAGACUUAUUAUAUUGGAGUAUUUCAAUUUUUCGUUGUAUCCUGCCUGCCUAGCAUCCAGUUCCUCCCCAGCCCUGCUCCCAGCAAACCCCUAGUCUAGCCCCAGCCCUACUCCCACCCCGCCCCAGCCCUGCCCCAGCCCCAGUCCCCUAACCCCCCAGCCCUAGCCCCAGUCCCAGUCCUAGUUCCUCAGUCCCGCCCAGCUUCUCUCGAAAGUCACUCUAAUUUUCAUUGAUUCAGUGCUCAAAAUAAGUUGUCCAUUGCUUAUCCUAUUAUACUGGGAUAUUCCGUUUACCCUUGGCAUUGCUGAUCUUCAGUACUGACUCCUUGACCAUUUUCAGUUAAUGCAUACAAUCCCAUUUGUCUGUGAUCUCAGGACAAAGAAUUUCCUUACUCGGUACGUUGAAGUUAGGGAAUGUCAAUUGAGAGCUUUCUAUCAGAGCAUUAUUGCCCACAAUUUGAGUUACUUAUCAUUUUCUCGAUCCCCUGCCCUUAAAGGAGAAACCAUUUCUCUGUCAUUGCUUCUGUAGUCACAGUCCCAAUUUUGAGUAGUGAUCUUUUCUUGUGUACUGUGUUGGCCACCUAAAACUCUUUGCAUUGAGUAAAAUUCUAAUUGCCAAUAAUCCUACCCAUUGGAUUAGACAGCACUCUGAACCCCAUUUGCAUUCAGCAGGGGGUCGCAGACAACCCGUCUUUUGUUGGACAGUUAAAAUGCUCAGUCCCAAUUGUCAUAGCUUUGCCUAUUAAACAAAGGCACCCUACUGCGCUUUUUGCUGUGCUUCUGGAGAAUCCUGCUGUUCUUGGACAAUUAAAGAACAAAGUAGUAAUUGCUAAUUGUCUCACCCAUUAAUCAUGAAGACUACCAGUCGCCCUUGCAUUUGCCUUGAGGCAGCGCUGACUACCUGAGAUUUAAGAGUUUCUUAAAUUAUUGAGUAAAAUCCCAAUUAUCCAUAGUUCUGUUAGUUACACUAUGGCCUUUGCAAACAUCUUUGCAUAACAGCAGUGGGACUGACUCAUUCUUAGAGCCCCUUCCCUUGGAAUAUUAAUGGAUACAAUAGUAAUUAUUCAUGGUUCUGCGUAACAGAGAAGACCCACUUAUGUGUAUGCCUUUAUCAUUGCUCCUAGAUAGUGUGAACUACCUACCACCUUGCAUUAAUAUGUAAAACACUAAUUGCCCAUAGUCCCACUCAUUAGUCUAGGAUGUCCUCUUUGCCAUUGCUGCUGAGUUCUGACUACCCAAGUUUCCUUCUCUUAAACAGUUGAUAUGCAUAAUUGCAUAUAUUCAUGGUUCUGUGCAAUAAAAAUGGAUUCUCACCCCAUCCCACCUUCUGUGGGAUGUUGCUAACGAGUGCAGAUUAUUCAAUAACAGCUCUUGAACAGUUAAUUUGCACAGUUGCAAUUGUCCAGAGUCCUGUCCAUUAGAAAGGGACUCUGUAUCCUAUUUGCACGCUACAAUGUGGGCUGAUCACCCAAGGACUCUUCUUGUGCAUUGAUGUUCAUAAUUGUAUUUGUCCACGAUCUUGUGCACUAACCCUUCCACUCCCUUUGUAUUCCAGCAGGGGACCCUUACUACUCAAGACCUCUGUACUAGGACAGUUUAUGUGCACAAUCCUAAUUGAUUAGAACUGAGUCUUUUAUAUCAAGGUCCCUGCAUCAUCUUUGCUUUACAUCAAGAGGGUGCUGGUUACCUAAUGCCCCUCCUCCAGAAAUUAUUGAUGUGCAAAAUGCAAUUUCCCUAUCUGCUGUUAGUCUGGGGUCUCAUCCCCUCAUAUUCCUUUUGUCUUACAGCAGGGGGUACUUGGGACUGUUAAUGCGCAUAAUUGCAAUUAUGGUCUUUUCCAUUAAAUUAAGAUCCCAACUGCUCACACCCUCUUAGCAUUACAGUAGAGGGUGCUAAUCACAAGGACAUUUCUUUUGUACUGUUAAUGUGCUACUUGCAUUUGUCCCUCUUCCUGUGCACUAAAGACCCCACUCACUUCCCUAGUGUUCAGCAGUGGAUGACCUCUAGUCAAGACCUUUGCACUAGGAUAGUUAAUGUGAACCAUGGCAACUGAUCACAACAAUGUCUUUCAGAUCAGAUCCAUUUUAUCCUCCUUGUUUUACAGCAAGGGAUAUUAAUUACCUAUGUUACCUUUCCCUGGGACUAUGAAUGUGCAAAAUUCCAAUGUUCAUGGUCUCUCCCUUUAAACCUAUAUUCUACCCCUUUUACAUUAUAGAAAGGGAUGCUGGAAACCCAGAGUCCUUCUCUUGGGACUCUUAAUGUGUAUUUCUAAUUAUCCAUGACUCUUAAUGUGCAUAUUUUCAAUUGCCUAAUUGAUUUCAAUUGUCUAAGACAUUUCAAAUGUCUAAUUGAUUAGAACUGAGUCUUUUAUAUCAAGCUAAUAUCUAGCUUUUAUAUCAAGCUAAUAUCUUGACUUCUCAGCAUCAUAGAAGGGGGUACUGAUUUCCUAAAGUCUUUCUUGAAUUUCUAUUAUGCAAAAUUGCCCUGAGGCCGGGUGUGGUGGCUCACACCUGUAAUCCCAGCACUUUGGGAGGCUGAGGUGGGAAGAUCCCUUACUGCCAGGAGUUUGAGACCAGCCUGGCCAACAUUAAAAAAAAAAAAAAGUAAGACAAUUGCCCUGGAAUCCCAUCCCCCUCACACCUCCUUGGCAAAGCAGCAGGAGUGCUAACUAGCUAGUGCUUCUUCUCUUAUACUGCUUAAAUGCGCAUAAUUAGCAGUAGUUGAUGUGCCCCUAUGUUAGAGUAGAAUCCCGCUUCCUUGCUCCAUUUGCAUUACUGCAGGAGCUUCUAACUAGCCUGAAUUCACUCUCUUGGACUGUUAAUGUGCAUACUUAUAUUUGCUGCUGUACUUUUUUACCAUGUAAGGACCCCACCCACUGUAUUUACAUCCCAGCUGGAAGUACCUACUACUUAAGACCCUUAGACUAGUAAAGUUAGCGUGCAUAAUCUUAGGUGUUAUAUACACAUUUUCAGUUGCAUACAGUUGUGCCUUUUAUCAGGACUCCUGUACUUAUCAAAGCAGAGAGUGCUAAUCAAUAUUAAGCCCUUCUCUUCGAACUGUAGAUGGCAUGUAAUUGCAGUUGUCAAUGGUCCUUCAAUUAGACUUGGGUUUCUGACCUAUCACACCCUCUUUGCUUUAUUGCAUGGGGUACUAUUCACUUAAGGCCCCUUUCUCAAACUGUUAAUGUGCCUAAUGACAAUUACAUCAGUAUCCUUCCUUUUGAAGGACAGCAUGGUUGGUGACACCUAAGGCCCCAUUUCUUGGCCUCCCAAUAUGUGUGAUUGUAUUUGUCGAGGUUGCUAUGCACUAGAGAAGGAAAGUGCUCCCCUCAUCCCCACUUUUCCCUUCCAGCAGGAAGUGCCCACCCCAUAAGACCCUUUUAUUUGGAGAGUCUAGGUGCACAAUUGUAAGUGACCACAAGCAUGCAUCUUGGACAUUUAUGUGCGUAAUCGCACACUGCUCAUUCCAUGUGAAUAAGGUCCUACUCUCCGACCCCUUUUGCAAUACAGAAGGGUUGCUGAUAACGCAGUCCCCUUUUCUUGGCAUGUUGUGUGUGAUUAUAAUCGUCUGGGAUCCUAUGCACUAGAAAAGGAGGGUCCUCUCCACAUACCUCAGUCUCACCUUUCCCUUCCAGCAGGGAGUGCCCACUCCAUAAGACUCUCACAUUUGGACAGUCAAGGUGCGUAAUUGUUAAGUGAACACAACCAUGCACCUUAGACAUGGAUUUGCAUAACUACACACAGCUCAACCUAUCUGAAUAAAAUCCUACUCUCAGACCCCUUUUGCAGUACAGCAGGGGUGCUGAUCACCAAGGCCCUUUUUCCUGGCCUGGUAUGCGUGUGAUUAUGUUUGUCCCGGUUCCUGUGUAUUAGACAUGGAAGCCUCCCCUGCCACACUCCACCCCCAAUCUUCCUUUCCCUUCCGGCAGGGAGUGCCCUCUCCAUAAGACGCUUACGUUUGGACAAUCAAGGUGCACAGUUGUAAGUGACCACAGGCAUACACCUUGGACAUUAAUGUGCAUAACCACUUUGCCCAUUCCAUCUGAAUAAGGUCCUACUCUCAGACCCCUUUUGCAGUACAGCAGGGGUGCUGAUCACCAAGGCCCCUUUUCUUGGCCUGUUAUGUGCGUGAUUAUAUUUGUCUGGGUUCCUGUGUAUUAGACAAGGAAGCCUUCCCCCCGCCCCCACCCCCACUCCCAGUCUUCCUUUCCCUUCCAGCAGGGAGUGCCCCCUCCAUAAGAUCAUUACAUUUGGACAAUCAAGGUGCACAAUUAUAAGUGACCACAGCCAUGCACCUUGGACAUUAUUGGACAUUAAUGUGCGUAACUGCACAUGGCCCAUCCCAUCUGAAUAAGGUCCUACUCUCAGAUGCCCUUUGCAGUACAGCAGGGGUACUGAAUCACCAAGGCCCUUUUUCUUGGCCUGUUAUGUGUGUGAUUAUAUUUAUCCCAGUUUCUGUGUAAUAGACAUGAAAGCCUCCCCUGCCACACCCCACCUCCAAUCUUCCUUUCCCUUCCACCAGGGAGUGUCCACUCCAUAUACCCUUACAUUUGGACAAUCAAGGUGCACAAUUGUAAGUGAGCAUAGGCACUCACCUUGGACAUGAAUGUGCAUAACUGCACAUGGCCCAUCCCAUCUGAAUAAGGUCCUACUCUCAGACCCUUUUUGCAGUACAGCAGGGGUGCUGAUCACCAAGGCCCCUUUUCCUGGCCUGUUAUGUGUGUGAUUAUAUUUGUUCCAGUUCCUGUGUAAUAGACAUGGAAGCCUCCCCUGCCACACUCCACCCCCAAUCUUCCUUUCCCUUCUGGCAGGAAGUACCCGCUCCAUAAGACCCUUACAUUUGGACAGUCAAGGUGCACAAUUGUAUGUGACCACAACCAUGCACCUUGGACAUAAAUGUGUGUAACUGCACAUGGCCCAUCCCAUCUGAAUAAGGUCCUACUCUCAGACCCCUUUUGCAGUACAGUAGGUGUGCUGAUAACCAAGGCCCCUCUUCCUGGCCUGUUAACGUAUGUGAUUAUAUUUGUCUGGGUUCCAGUGUAUAAGACAUGGAAGCCUCCCCUGCCCCACCCCACCCUCAAUCUUCCUUUCCCUUCUGGCAGGGAGUGCCAGCUCCAUAAGAACCUUACAUUUGGACAGUCAAGGUGCACAAUUCUAAGUGACCGCAGCCAUGCACCUUGGUCAAUAAUGUGUGUAACUGCACACGGCCUAUCUCAUCUGAAUAAGGCCUUACUCUCAGACCCCUUUUGCAGUACAGCAGGGGUGCUGAUAACCAAGGCCCAUUUUCCUGGCCUGUUAUGUGUGUGAUUAUAUUUGUCCAGGUUUCUGUGUACUAGACAAGGAAGCCUCCUCUGCCCCAUCCCAUCUACGCAUAAUCUUUCUUUUCCUCCCAGCAGGGAGUGCUCACUCCAUAAGACCCUUACAUUUGGACAAUCAAGGUGCACAAUUGUAAGUGACCACAACCAUGCAUCUUGGAAAUUUAUGUGCAUAACUGCACAUGGCUUAUCCUAUUUGAAUAAAGUCCUACUCUCAGACCCCCUUUGCAGUAUAGCUGGGGUGCUGAUCACUGAGGCCUCUUUGCUUGGCUUGUCUAUAUUCUUGUGUACUAGAUAAGGGCACCUUCUCAUGGACUCCCUUUGCUUUUCAACAAGGAGUACCCACUACUUUUUAAGAUUCUUAUAUUUGUCCAAAGUACAUGGUUUUAAUUGACCACAACAAUGUCCCUUGGACAUUAAUGUAUGUAAUCACCACAUGGUUCAUCCUAAUUAAACAAAGUUCUACCUUCUCACCCUCCAUUUGCAGUAUACCAGGGUUGCUGACCCCCUAAGUCCCCUUUUCUUGGCUUGUUGACAUGCAUAAUUGCAUUUAUGUUGGUUCUUGUGCCCUAGACAAGGAUGCCCCACCUCUUUUCAAUAGUGGGUGCCCACUCCUUAUGAUCUUUACAUUUGAACAGUUAAUGUGAAUAAUUGCAGUUGUCCACAACCCUAUCACUUCUAGGACCAUUAUACCUCUUUUGCAUUACUGUGGGGUAUACUGUUUCCCUCCAAGGCCCCUUCUGGUGGACUAUCAACAUAUAAUUGAAAUUUUCUUUUGUCUUUGUCAGUAGAUUAAGGUCAUACCCCAUCACCUUUCCUUUGUAGUACAACAGGGUGUCCUGAUCAACCAAAGUCCUGUUGUUUUGGACUGUUAAUAUGUGCAAUUACAUUUGCUCCUGAUCUGUGCACUAGAUAAGGAUCCUACCUACUUUCUUAGUGUUUUUAGCAGGUAGUGCCCACUACUCAAGACUGUCACUUGGAAUGUUCAUGUGCACAAACUCAAUUCUCUAAGCAUGUUCCUGUACCACCUUUGCUUUAGAGCAGGGGGAUGAUAUUCACUAAGUGCCCCUUCUUUUGGACUUAAUAUGCAUUAAUGCAAUUGUCCACCUCUUCUUUUAGACUAAGAGUUGAUCUCCACAUAUUCCCCUUGCAUCAGGGGCAUGUUAAUUAUGAAUGAACCCUUUUCUUUUAAUAUUAAUGUCAUAAUUGUAUUUGUGGACCUGUGUAGGAGAAAAAGACCCUAUGUUCCUCCCAUUACCCUUUGGAUUGCUGCUGAGAAGUGUUAACUACUCAUAAUCUCAGCUCUUGGACAAUUAAUAGCAUUAAUAACAAUUAUCAAGGGCACUGAUCAUUAGAUAAGACUCCUGCUUCCUCGUUGCUUACAUCGGGGGUACUGACCCACUAAGGCCCCUUGUACUGUUAAUGUGAAUAUUUGCAAUUAUAUAUGUCUCCUUCUGGUAGAGUGGGAUAUUAUGCCCUAGUAUCCCCUUUGCAUUACUGCAGGGGCUGCUGACUACUCAAAACUUCUCCUGGGACUGUUAAUAGGCACAAUGGCAGUUAUCAAUGGUUUUCUCCCUCCCUGACCUUGUUAAGCAAGCGCCCCACCCCACCCUUAGUUUCCCAUGGCAUAAUAAAGUAUAAGCAUUGGAGUAUUCCAUGCACUUGUCUAUCAAACAGUGGUCCAUACUCCCAACCCUUUUGCAUUGCGCCAGUGUGUAAAAUCACAGGUAGCCAUGGUGUCAUGCUUUAUAUACGAAGUCUUCCCUCUCUCUGCCCCUUGUGUGCCCUUGGCCCCUUUUUACAGACUAUUGCUCACAAUCUCAGGUGUCCAUAUUUGCAGCUAUUAGGUAAGAUUGUGCUGUCUCCCUCUUCCCUUCCCUCUGCCCUGCCCCUUUUGCCUCUUUGCUGGGUAAUGUUGACCAGACAAGGCCCUUUCUCUUGGACUUAAACAAUUCUCAGUUGCACUUUCCUUGGUCCCACCCAUUAUACAUGAACCCCUCUACUUCCUUUCGCAUUGCUUCUGAGUAUGCUGACUACCCAAAGCCCCUUCUGUGUUAUUAAUAAACACAGUACUGAUUGUCCCAUUUUUCAGCCCAUCAGUCCAAGAUCUCCCUACCACUUUGGUGUGUUGGUGCAGUGUUGACUAUGAAAAGCAGGCCUGAACUAGGAUGUCAAAAGAUCGGCCCAGCUCAGGGAGCAGUUUGCCCUACUAGCUCCUCGGACAGCUGUAAAGAAGAGUCUCUGGCUCUUUAGAAUACUGUAAGUACUACUUCGUAGCUAUUAAGUAAUCUUUUUCCUAUUCUAUUUUCUUUCUCUUAGAUGCCACCUAUAGAAAAGUCAGAGGGUCCAGAUCCCAUUGAAGAUACCACGCUGCAUGUGUCCUUAGUAGUCAUGUCUCCUUAGGCUCCUCUUGGACAUUCUGAGCAUGUGAGACCUGAGGACUGCAAACAGCUAUAAGAGGCUCCAAAUUAAUCAUAUCUUUCCCUUUGAGAAUCUGGCCAAGCUCCAGCUAAUCUACUUGGAUGGGUUGCCAGCUAUCUGGAGAAAAAGAUCUUCCUCAGAAGAAUAGGCUUGUUGUUUUACAGUGUUAGUGAUCCAUUCCCUUUGACGAUCCCUAGGUGGAGAUGGGGCAUGAGGAUCCUCCAGGGGAAAAGCUCACUACCACUGGGCAACAACCCUAGGUCAGGAGGUUCUGUCAAGAUACUUUCCUGGUCCCAGAUAGGAAGAUAAAGUCUCAAAAACAACCACCACACGUCAAGGAGAACAUGGACAACUGUCACAUCAGUGACAUUGAUCACAUGGGCAAAUCAUUCUGUUCCAUGUGGUCCCCAAAGUCUCUCUUAAAGCCUUACAGAAGAACUUUGCCAAUCAUUUACAUACUUCAGGAUGGCUUGGGAUGCCAUGGUGUAUAAUACAACAAGUGAGAGCUCUUCAUUGUUCCUAUCUGCCAAAUCAUUAUACUUCCUACAAGCAGUGCAGAGAGCUGAGUCUUCAGCAGGUCCAAGAAAUUUGAACACACUGAAGGAAGUCAGCCUUCCCACCUGAAGAUCAACAUGCCUGGCACUCUAGCACUUGAGGAUAGCUGAAUGAAUGUGUAUUUCUUUGUCUCUUUCUUUCUUGUCUUUGCUCUUUGUUCUCUAUCUAAAGUGUGUCUUACCCAUUUCCAUGUUUCUCUUGCUAAUUUCUUUCGUGUGUGCCUUUGCCUCAUUUUCUCUUUUUGUUCACAAGAGUGGUCUGUGUCUUGUCUUAGACAUAUCUCUCAUUUUUCAUUUUGUUGCUAUUUCUCUUUGCUCUCCUAGAUGUGGCUCUUCUUUCACGCUUUAUUUCAUGUCUCCUUUUUGGGUCACAUGCUGUGUGCUUUUUGUCCUUUUCUUGUUCUGUCUACCUCUCCUUUCUCUGCCUACCUCUCUUUUCUCUUUGUGAACUGUGAUUAUUUGUUACCCCUUCCCCUUCUCGUUCGUUUUAAAUUUCACCUUUUUUCUGAGUCUGGCCUCCUUUCUGCUGUUUCUACUUUUUAUCUCACAUUUCUCAUUUCUGCAUUUCCUUUCUGCCUCUCUUGGGCUAUUCUCUCUCUCCUCCCCUGCGUGCCUCAGCAUCUCUUGCUGUUUGUGAUUUUCUAUUUCAGUAUUAAUCUCUGUUGGCUUGUAUUUGUUCUCUGCUUCUUCCCUUUCUACUCACCUUUGAGUAUUUCAGCCUCUUCAUGAAUCUAUCUCCCUCUCUUUGAUUUCAUGUAAUCUCUCCUUAAAUAUUUCUUUGCAUAUGUGGGCAAGUGUACGUGUGUGUGUGUCAUGUGUGGCAGAGGGGCUUCCUAACCCCUGCCUGAUAGGUGCAGAACGUCGGCUAUCAGAGCAAGCAUUGUGGAGCGGUUCCUUAUGCCAGGCUGCCAUGUGAGAUGAUCCAAGACCAAAACAAGGCCCUAGACUGCAGUAAAACCCAGAACUCAAGUAGGGCAGAAGGUGGAAGGCUCAUAUGGAUAGAAGGCCCAAAGUAUAAGACAGAUGGUUUGAGACUUGAGACCCGAGGACUAAGAUGGAAAGCCCAUGUUCCAAGAUAGAUAGAAGCCUCAGGCCUGAAACCAACAAAAGCCUCAAGAGCCAAGAAAACAGAGGGUGGCCUGAAUUGGACCGAAGGCCUGAGUUGGAUGGAAGUCUCAAGGCUUGAGUUAGAAGUCUUAAGACCUGGGACAGGACACAUGGAAGGCCUAAGAACUGAGACUUGUGACACAAGGCCAACGACCUAAGAUUAGCCCAGGGUUGUAGCUGGAAGACCUACAACCCAAGGAUGGAAGGCCCCUGUCACAAAGCCUACCUAGAUGGAUAGAGGACCCAAGCGAAAAAGGUAUCUCAAGACUAACGGCCGGAAUCUGGAGGCCCAUGACCCAGAACCCAGGAAGGAUAGAAGCUUGAAGACCUGGGGAAAUCCCAAGAUGAGAACCCUAAACCCUACCUCUUUUCUAUUGUUUACACUUCUUACUCUUAGAUAUUUCCAGUUCUCCUGUUUAUCUUUAAGCCUGAUUCUUUUGAGAUGUACUUUUUGAUGUUGCCGGUUACCUUUAGAUUGACAGUAUUAUGCCUGGGCCAGUCUUGAGCCAGCUUUAAAUCACAGCUUUUACCUAUUUGUUAGGCUAUAGUGUUUUGUAAACUUCUGUUUCUAUUCACAUCUUCUCCACUUGAGAGAGACACCAAAAUCCAGUCAGUAUCUAAUCUGGCUUUUGUUAACUUCCCUCAGGAGCAGACAUUCAUAUAGGUGAUACUGUAUUUCAGUCCUUUCUUUUGACCCCAGAAGCCCUAGACUGAGAAGAUAAAAUGGUCAGGUUGUUGGGGAAAAAAAAGUGCCAGGCUCUCUAGAGAAAAAUGUGAAGAGAUGCUCCAGGCCAAUGAGAAGAAUUAGACAAGAAAUACACAGAUGUGCCAGACUUCUGAGAAGCACCUGCCAGCAACAGCUUCCUUCUUUGAGCUUAGUCCAUCCCUCAUGAAAAAUGACUGACCACUGCUGGGCAGCAGGAGGGAUGAUGACCAACUAAUUCCCAAACCCCAGUCUCAUUGGUACCAGCCUUGGGGAACCACCUACACUUGAGCCACAAUUGGUUUUGAAGUGCAUUUACAAGUUUCUGGCAUCACUACCACUACUGAUUAAACAAGAAUAAGAGAACAUUUUAUCAUCAUCUGCUUUAUUCACAUAAAUGAAGUUGUGAUGAAUAAAUCUGCUUUUAUGCAGACACAAGGAAUUAAGUGGCUUCGUCAUUGUCCUUCUACCUCAAAGAUAAUUUAUUCCAAAAGCUAAGAUAAAUGGAAGACUCUUGAACUUGUGAACUGAUGUGAAAUGCAGAAUCUCUUUUGAGUCUUUGCUGUUUGGAAGAUUGAAAAAUAUUGUUCAGCAUGGGUGACCACCAGAAAGUAAUCUUAAGCCAUCUAGAUGUCACAAUUGAAACAAACUGGGGAGUUGGUUGCUAUUGUAAAAUAAAAUAUACUGUUUUGAAAACUUUGUAUUUUGAUGUGACAAUUUCUAACUCACUGUCCCUAA